AUUGAACGCUGGCGGCAGGCCUAACACAUGCAAGUCGAGCGGAUGAAGGGAGCUUGCUCCUGGAUUCAGCGGCGGACGGGUGAGUAAUGCCUAGGAAUCUGCCUGGUAGUGGGGAUAACGUCCGGAAACGGGCGCUAAUACCGCAUACGUCCUGAGGGAGGAAGUGGGGGAUCUUCGGACCUCACGCUAUCAGAUGAGCCUAGGUCGGAUUAGCUAGUUGGUGGGGUAAAGGCCUACCAAGGCGACGAUCCGUAACUGGUCUGAGAGGAUGAUCAGUCACACUGGAACUGAGACACGGUCCAGAAUCCUAAGGGAGGCAGCAGUGGGGAAUAUUGGACAAUGGGCGAAAGCCUGAUCCAGCCAUGCCGCGUGUGUGAAGAAGGUCUUCGGAUUGUAAAGCACUUUAAGUUGGGAGGAAGGGCAGUAAGUUAAUACCUUGCUGUUUUGACGUUACCAACAGAAUAAGCACCGGCUAACUUCGUG
Molecule: ribosomal RNA, 483 nt
Filed under: uncultured bacterium
Lineage: Bacteria
Description: partial 16S ribosomal RNA
Rfam family: Bacterial small subunit ribosomal RNA
Source: RNAcentral